CACCCGCGGUAAUACGUAGGGUGCGAGCGUUGUCCGGAAUUAUUGGGCGUAAAGAGCUCGUAGGCGGUCUGUCGCGUCGGCUGUGAAAACUCGGGGCUCAACUCCGAGCUUGCAGUCGAUACGGGCAGGCUGGAGUUCGGCAGGGGAGACUGGAAUUCCUGGUGUAGCGGUGAAAUGCGCAGAUAUCAGGAGGAACACCGGUGGCGAAGGCGGGUCUCUGGGCCGAUACUGACGCUGAGGAGCGAAAGCGUGGGGAGCGAACAGGAUUAGAUACCCUGGUAGUCCACGCCGUAAACGUUGGGCGCUAGGUGUGGGAUCCCUUCCACGGGUUCCGUGCCGCAGCUAACGCAUUAA
Molecule: ribosomal RNA, 354 nt
Filed under: uncultured soil bacterium
Lineage: Bacteria
Description: bacterial SSU rRNA
Rfam family: Bacterial small subunit ribosomal RNA
Source: RNAcentral